RNAcentral lists this transfer RNA (69 nucleotides) under Meranoplus bicolor. Its description in RNAcentral is "tRNA-Cys". The record is from RNAcentral. Lineage: Eukaryota; Metazoa; Arthropoda; Insecta; Hymenoptera; Formicidae.
AGUAUUAUAGUUUAUUUAGAUAAAACAUAAAAGUGCAAAUUUUAUAAAAUUAGAGAUUAAUUAAUAUUU